Molecule: long non-coding RNA, 1054 nt
Filed under: Penaeus merguiensis
Lineage: Eukaryota; Metazoa; Arthropoda; Malacostraca; Decapoda; Penaeidae
Description: partial lncVP01
Source: RNAcentral
CUAGUAUGGCAUAUAUUUAAUUGAUGGUAACAGAAAAUUCAUAUGGUUAAGAAAUUUUGUUAAUGCCAAACCUUUAUUCCAACAAGACUAACCCAAAACUUUAUCGAGAAUCAUAAAUGUUCAAGAGUUUUUUAUUUAAAAAGUGGGAUUUGCGAGGAUUUCAUGUGGUCGGAUGCAAAAACAUCCUCUAUAUUUUUUUACCAUUUUUUUUUUACAAAUUCAGUUCUUAAAACACUAAUACAAUACUGUUAAAGGUGUAAAACUAUUUUCACAAUUUCGUAUACGUCGCUAGACUACUAAUUUCGAAAAGAAACCACGCACUCUGUCCAGUCACGAACCACAGGAGAAUAUUUUGACAUAUGACUAUACAUGCCCUUGUUCUGAUUAUACAAACACUGUAUAAAAGGCACUACAUCCACUCAUCCAUCAAUCACAAGCAAAACAUACCACCAAAGACAGGGGGAAAAUACCACGUGAGCAAAUUUACAAGACCAUGAUGCUUAAAAAAAAAGAAGAAAAAAAAGUGAAACAAAAACAAAUGAGCAUCGCGAUCUUCAUGUAUAAGCACUUGAGUAACAUUUAAUUAAUAAUAAAAAUCGGUAAGAAAAGAUUCUAAAUGCCAUUAUAAUAACAUAAAAAGAUAAAAGGAAGGGGAUACGAGACUCUAAGAUUCAGCGGCAGCCUCUUUGGUUGCCUCUUCGGCCGGGGCUUCCGCCUCUUUGGUCUCCUCCGCGGGGGCUUCCUUGCUCUCCUCGCCCUCUUUAGGCGCCUCUUCCUCCUUCUUUUCCUCUUCCUUCUCUCCCUCUUCCUUGGGUGCUUCCUCCUUAGUCUCCUCCUUGGCCUCCUGCGCCUCCUCCUUCUUCUCUUCCUGUGGGGUGGUCUCUGCGACCUCCUUGGUCUCAGCGGCUUCUUGUGCCUCCUCCUUCUUCUCCUCCUGUGGGGUGGUCUCAGGAACCUCCUUAGUCUCAGCUGCUUCAGAGCUCAUGGUGGUGGUGUAGAGGAGAAAUGAACGGUAGAGAGAGAGAGAGAGAGAGAGAGAGAGAGAGAGAGAGAG